Molecule: ribosomal RNA, 484 nt
Filed under: uncultured bacterium
Lineage: Bacteria
Description: partial 16S ribosomal RNA
Rfam family: Bacterial small subunit ribosomal RNA
Source: RNAcentral
AUUGAACGCUGGCGGCAUGCUUUACACAUGCAAGUCGAACGGCAGCGCGGGCUUCGGCCUGGCGGCGAGUGGCGAACGGGUGAGUAAUACAUCGGAACGUGCCCAGUAGUGGGGGAUAGCUCGGCGAAAGCCGGAUUAAUACCGCAUACGACCUGAGGGUGAAAGCGGGGGAUCUUCGGACCUCGCGCUAUUGGAGCGGCCGAUGGCAGAUUAGCUAGUUGGUGGGGUAAAGGCCUACCAAGGCGACGAUCUGUAGCUGGUCUGAGAGGACGACCAGCCACACUGGGACUGAGACACGGCCCAGACUCCUACGGGAGGCAGCAGUGGGGAAUUUUGGACAAUGGGCGAAAGCCUGAUCCAGCAAUGCCGCGUGUGUGAUGAAGGCCUUCGGGUUGUAAAGCACUUUUGGCGGGAACGAAAAGGACUGUGCCAAUACCACGGUACGAUGACGGUACCCGCAGAAUAAGCACCGGCUAACUACGUG